UGUUCUCUGUGGUGUUUGCCAGUGGGUUCGAGAUCCUUGAGCCUAUACUUUGCUACCACUGGGGCCGAUCUGGUAGUUGAUGUUGUGCAUGCCCGCGUUAGCGGGAAGCCUGAUUCUCUCCGAGAAGUCCCGUUCUUGAGCCUUUGGUUCAAGAGUACGGCCCGCAGCGGCAUUGCGGAGGACAC
This 185-nucleotide non-coding RNA is filed under the name Gammaproteobacteria bacterium. RNAcentral describes it as "6S RNA". It matches the Rfam family "6S / SsrS RNA". From Rfam's summary of the family: E. coli 6S RNA was the first non coding RNA to be sequenced, but its function was unknown until recently. It consists of 184 nucleotides that fold into an extended hairpin structure with a large single-stranded internal bulge. Lineage: Bacteria; Pseudomonadati; Pseudomonadota; Gammaproteobacteria. The record is from RNAcentral.